UACGUAGGGGGCAAGCGUUGUCCGGAUUUAUUGGGCGUAAAGAGCGUGUAGGCGGCUAGGUAGGUCCGUUGUGAAAACUCGAGGCUCAACCUCGAGACGUCGAUGGAAACCAUCUAGCUAGAGUCCGGAAGAGGAGAGUGGAAUUCCUGGUGUAGCGGUGAAAUGCGCAGAUAUCAGGAAGAACACCCGUGGCUAAGGCGGUUCUCUAGUACGGUACUGACGCUGAGACGCGAAAGCGUGGGGAGCAAACAGG
RNAcentral lists this ribosomal RNA (253 nucleotides) under uncultured bacterium. RNAcentral's name for it is "partial 16S ribosomal RNA". It matches the Rfam family "Bacterial small subunit ribosomal RNA", at positions 524 to 776 of the family's 1533-position model. The record is from RNAcentral.